CAGUUCGGAUUGUAGUCUGCAACCCGACUACAUGAAGCCGGAAUCGCUAGUAAUCGCGGAUCAGAAUGCCGCGGUGAAUACGUUCCCGGGUCUUGUACACACCGCCCGUCACACCAUGGGAGUUGGAAAUGCCCGAAGUCAGUGGCCCAACCGGAAGGGGGGAGCUGCCGAAGGCAGGUUCGAUGACUGGGGUGAAGUCGUAACAAGGUAAC
RNAcentral lists this ribosomal RNA (212 nucleotides) under uncultured bacterium. Its description in RNAcentral is "partial 16S ribosomal RNA". It matches the Rfam family "Bacterial small subunit ribosomal RNA", at positions 1289 to 1500 of the family's 1533-position model. The record is from RNAcentral.